Non-coding RNA from Drosophila virilis, 704 nucleotides. NCBI's taxonomy places the organism in Eukaryota, Metazoa, Arthropoda, Insecta, Diptera, Drosophilidae. The record is from RefSeq and is a predicted model, not a curated record.
CAUUUUAUUUAAGUCAUUUUUCAUUCAAAUAAAGUCUUUACUUUGAGAACAAGUGUUAUACAUACAUAUGUAUGAGUUUACAUACAUACACACAAUGUAUGUAAAACAAGAAUGAGCAUGGCUUCUCUCAAAGCAUAAAGUUCGCCGAGGAAUAUUGCUGCCGGCAGAAGUUUAGAUCAAGCCCGCGAAUGUGAUUCAUAUGACAGUGUGUGUGUGUGUGUGUGUGUGUGUGUGUGUCGGCAUUACCAUUAGUUUGAAGAAUCUUCGUUUGCUUGUUGGUGCGAGCAGGACCGAAACGUGGCAACAUACAUAUGUACAUACAUAUAUAAAUGUGACAUUGCAAAGAAAAUAAAAUUGAAACUCGAUAAGGUACAUACAAUCAUGCAAGUAGGUUUGGUUUUGGGCCCAAGUUAUAUGCACCGGCUCGCACCCGGUACAGACGGUCGGGGCAAGAUUUAGUCAGCUUGUCAUCCUGGAUCAAGAAUAUAUAAACUUUAUGGAGCCGAAUAUAAUUUCUUUUGCCUGUUACAGACCUUUGCAAAAAAGCCACAUACCCAUUUUGAAUGGGUUUAGGGUACAACAAAACGAUCUCACAUUUACAAAAAUUUAUGUGUAGCCCAACCGGUUUAUGUGUCAACACAUAUACGUAUACGUAUGUAUAUACAUAUGUACACAUACAAAUGCAUGACUUCAUAUAUUUUUAA